Molecule: non-coding RNA, 97 nt
Organism: Acanthosepion pharaonis
Lineage: Eukaryota; Metazoa; Mollusca; Cephalopoda; Sepiida; Sepiidae
Source: the annotation of a GenBank genome assembly
AUUGAAACACCGGUUCCCGGACGAUCACUGAAGUUAAGCAACAUGGAGCCUGAUCAGUGCAUAGAUGAGUAACCGCUUGAGAAUACCAGUUGCCGUA